This 497-nucleotide ribosomal RNA is filed under the name uncultured bacterium. Its description in RNAcentral is "partial 16S ribosomal RNA". It matches the Rfam family "Bacterial small subunit ribosomal RNA", at positions 28 to 507 of the family's 1533-position model. The record is from RNAcentral.
GACGAACGCUGGCGGCGUGCCUAAUACAUGCAAGUAGAACGCUGAAGAGAGGAGCUUCCUCUUCUUGGAUGAGUUGCGAACGGGUGAGUAACGCGUAGGUAACCUGCCUUGUAGCGGGGGAUAACUAUUGGAAACGAUAGCUAAUACCGCAUAACAAUGGAUGACACAUGUCAUUUAUUUGAAAGGGGCAAUUGCUCCACUACAAGAUGGACCUGCGUUGUAUUAGCUAGUAGGUGAGGUAAUGGCUCACCUAGGCGACGAUACAUAGCCGACCUGAGAGGGUGAUCGGCCACACUGGGAAUGAGACACGGCCCAGACGCCUACGGGAGGCAGCAGUAGGGAAUCUUCGGCAAUGGGGGCAACCCUGACCGAGCAACGCCGCGGGAGGGAAGAAGGGUUUCGGAUCGUAAAGCUCGGUUGUAAGUCAAGAACGGGUGUGAGAGUGGAAAGUUCACACUGUGACGGUAGCUUACCAGAAAGGGACGGCUAACUACGUG